CAGACAAUACAAGCGCCUCGGACCGAGUCCCCGAACCUGCCCUAGCCAAAAUGGCGGCCGAGAAAGAGCGGAAGUGACGUUAAAGAGGCUUUUGUAUACUGGAGAUAUAAGCAAAAAAGGUCUAAGGUGACUUUACGCAGAGAUUGAAGGAUGAGUAGCAGAUGGUCAUGAAGGAACAUGGAAACAGCAUUUCAGGCAAAGGAAAAUAGAACUCUGUGAACUCAGAAGCAUGCUUAUGGCAUGGAAAGCAAAAAGGAAGGAGCACAAGGCAGAGGUCAGAAAGGGAGGCAGGGGCCAACAAACACAUAGGGGCCUGAGGGACAAGGGAAGGAGCUUGGAUUUUUCCCUAGAUGUUAGUGGGAACUCCCUGAACUGGAGGGACAAUAAUCUGAUUCUGUUUUUGUGUAUCUAGCUUAAACUCCGAACAGCUUCCAAAAUCUUAUUCACAGAGGUUUUGUGAUCUUUUGGGCUAAGAAUUUAAUUAUAUUGCCUACAAACAAAUAUAAUUGUGUAUAUUUUACUAACAUUUAACUAAAUUCUUGUCUUACUGUAUUAACAUUUCCAUGUUUAAUGAUAGCUAGCAUGCCUGUCUUAAUGAAUGUAUUGGAAAUGAUUCAGCAUUUCACUAUUUGGUGUGAUAUUUGUAUAAUGACUGGGUUAUUUUUUAUUAUGCUUAAGAGGUUUCCUUCUAUUCUUAAAGUUUUAACUAGAAAAUGGUAGUAAAUAAUAUCUCCUUUAGCAUCUACAGACUUAACCACACUACUUUGUUAACAUAAUGAAUGAAUUAUAAGUGAUUACCAAUAAUGAGCCAUUCUGGCAUUCCUGGAAUAAACUCUUUUGUUCAUGG
Molecule: long non-coding RNA, 847 nt
Organism: Symphalangus syndactylus (siamang)
Lineage: Eukaryota; Metazoa; Chordata; Mammalia; Primates; Hylobatidae
Source: RefSeq, a predicted model, not a curated record